UCGGGAAUAUUGCGCAAUGGAGGAAACUCUGACGCAGUGACGCCGCGUGCAGGAAGAAGGUUUUCGGAUUGUAAACUGCUUUAGACAGGGGAAGAAAAAAGACAGUACCUGUAGAAUAAGCUCCGGCUAACUACGUGCCAGCAGCCGCGGUAAUACGUAGGGAGCGAGCGUUAUCCGGAUUUAUUGGGUGUAAAGGGUGCGUACACGGGAAAUUAAGUUAGUUGUGAAAUCCCUCGGCUCAACUGAGGAACUGCAACUCAAACUGAUAUUCUUGAGUACUGGAGAGGAAAGUGGAAUUCCUAGUGUAGCGGUGAAAUGCGUAGAUAUUAGGAGGAACACCAGUGGCGAAGGCGACUUUCUGGACAGAAACUGACGUUGAGGCACGAAAGUGUGGGGAGCAAACAGGAUUAGAUACC
Molecule: ribosomal RNA, 416 nt
Filed under: uncultured bacterium
Lineage: Bacteria
Description: bacterial SSU rRNA
Rfam family: Bacterial small subunit ribosomal RNA
Source: RNAcentral